GUUCUUAUAGUUAAAGCUUUAUAACGACGGCUUUUCAGGCCGUAGGUCUCGGAGAAAAGCCGAGUGGGAAUU
Non-coding RNA from Pyrgilauda ruficollis (rufous-necked snowfinch), 72 nucleotides. The record is from the annotation of a RefSeq genome assembly. Lineage: Eukaryota; Metazoa; Chordata; Aves; Passeriformes; Passeridae.